Long non-coding RNA from Ostrinia nubilalis (European corn borer), 1945 nucleotides. RefSeq lists it as uncharacterized. The record is from RefSeq and is a predicted model, not a curated record. NCBI's taxonomy places the organism in Eukaryota, Metazoa, Arthropoda, Insecta, Lepidoptera, Crambidae. The transcript is spliced from 2 exons.
UGUAACAACACCCUUCUUUCUGAAUUUAGCUGGAAAGAGGUUGUUCCAAAUGAAUAUCGCGAUAGAACUAUAUUAGAUAAUCAUGCUAAUGAAACAGCAGCUCACUUAGGUGUUUUUAAAACGUAUCGCCGCCUUCUAUUAAAAUAUUAUUGGCCUGGUAUGUAUAGCGAUGUCGUUAAGGCGGUUACUAACUGUCAAGUCUGCCUAGCCUAUAAACAACCUACUCAUGGUACUCUAGGUAAAAUGGGAAGACCAAAAGAGUGUUCACGUCCAUUCCAGACACUCUCUAUUGAUCUGGUCGGACCCUUACCCGUUAGUAGAAAACAAAACUGUUACUUGUUUGUGAUAACCUGCUGCUUUUCUAAAUAUUGCUUAUUGUUUCCUCUUAGACAGGCUACUUCUACGGCUGUCUGUAAAAUUCUAGAGGACAAUGUAUUCCUGGUUCAUGGCAUUCCUCAAACCAUCAUUAUGGAUAAUGGCUCUCAAUUUAUAAGUAAGCAGUUAGACACUCUACUAAGUAAAUAUAAAAUUCCAAACGUUCACUUUACACCAAAAUAUACACCACAGGUCAAUACAGUGGAAAGAUACAAUAAAACCAUAAUAACAGCUGUAUCCACACUUAUUAACAAUGACCACAGGGCAUGGGAUAUAUUUUUACCUAAGAUACAGUUUGCUAUAAAUAACUCCGUAAACGAAGUAACUGGCCAUACACCUUCAUUUCUAGUGCAUGGUCGUGAAUUGGUCACUUGCGGUUCACAUUACAUAGAAAAUGAUGUUUCAAACGAAAUUUUGUUUCUACCACGAGACGCUUACGCGGAGAAUUUGGGACAUUUGGCAACGGUUUUUGACCAAGUUCAAACUGCUUUAUGGCGUAGCCACCAAAAAACGACUCAACGUUAUAACCUACGCAGAAAAGAUGCUGAAUUCUCAGUGGGUGAUACCGUUUGGAAGAGGUGUUUUUUCCAAAGCGAUAAAGCUGCUCACUUUGCGAAGAAACUAGCUCCCAAAUUUGAGAAGUGCCGUAUUAUAGGUAAACGUUCCCCUCUUGUUUACAUCUUAGAAGAUAAAGAUGGACGUGAUAUUGGGGCCUGGCAUAUUAAAGAUCUCAAACUGAAAAUGUAUGAAGCUUAGCAACGCUAUUACGAUAGUUUCGAUUUAACUUAGGUUAAAUCUUUUCUAAGGAGGGGGAUAUUGUCACGAUUAACGUGAACUUCUCGUUACUAAUAUACUUAAACUUUAAAAUAAACUAAACAUUGUCCAUAAAAAUAUUAAACCUAAAAAUAAAACCUUACUUGCUAAUAUAAACACUACUUACUUAAACUAUAAACUAUAAAUAAUUAAAUACUAAAUAAAACUAAACAUAAUACUAACUUUCAAACAAAAUCCUAAUCCAUACGUCAUUUAAAUGUGCAUCGAAAUGUUACUGCGCUGUUCUCGCUAUUAAAAUCGUACGGGUUAUUUGGUGUUUUGUUUACCGCGUCUCAAAGUAAAAAACUGCCGUGAGGAUCGCACCGGCGGCGCCACGCAGACUAGCUUGGCGGCCGAGACGAGUGCGGUCGUCCCUACUGCAUUGAAUGCAAACCUAUUUCACGCUCGACUGAUUUCUCAAGUCGUUCAUAAGCGAUUUACUAUUUUCGCAUACUUCUAUUAGUGCUAGUAACACUUUACUACUGCAAGAUCAGUGUUAAUUAUAAUUAUUUCAACCCCUUGACCGGGGUUUUUAUGCCGGGCAUAAUAUUAAGGGCAGACUACACCACGCUCAAGCAAGGACGAAGCCAACUGAAGCUGUCAAACACCUACCUCAGGCCAGUGUUGGAACUACUUAACCGUCCCGGUGAUACCAAAUUACUUUUAAUAAGAAAGAACCUGACCCUGAGACUAUUUAAUUUUAGAUUUUUAUUAUUAAGAGAUAAUUGCAGAAGUUCAAUAAACUUAUUAUUUUGUU